CCCGCACCUGGCGAAGUUGGUGGCGCUCGGCGGCUUUCGCCGCUGGGAGAAGGUGAUGCGCCGGUUCAUCACCGACGAGCGGCUCC
Molecule: transfer RNA, 86 nt
Filed under: Mycolicibacterium thermoresistibile
Lineage: Bacteria; Bacillati; Actinomycetota; Actinomycetes; Mycobacteriales; Mycobacteriaceae
Description: tRNA-???(tt)
Source: RNAcentral